AUUGAACGCUGGCGGCAGGCCUAACACAUGCAAGUCGAGCGAGCGGAGGACGGGUGAGUAAUGUAUGGGGACUGCCCGUUAGCGGGGGAUAACACCUGGAAACGGUAGCUAAUACCGCAUACUAUCGGCUUAGGCAUAUGGGAUUAGCUAGUAGGGGAGGUAAUGGGUCACCUAGGCGACGAUCCCUAGCUGGUCUGAGAGGAUGAUUAGCCACACGGGGACUGAGACACGGCCCAGACUCCUAAGGAGGCAGCAGUGGGGAAUAUUGCACAAUGGGCGCAAGCCUGAUGCAGCCAUGCCGCGUGUAUGAAGAAGGCCCUAGGGUUGUAAAGUACUUUCAGUCGGGAGGCGUUACCGACAGAAGAAGCACCGGCUAACUCCGGGCCAGCAGCCGCGGUAAUUC
RNAcentral lists this ribosomal RNA (403 nucleotides) under uncultured bacterium. Its description in RNAcentral is "partial 16S ribosomal RNA". It matches the Rfam family "Bacterial small subunit ribosomal RNA", at positions 30 to 526 of the family's 1533-position model. The record is from RNAcentral.